AUGAACUCGUGUGUGGAUCUCAUCCAUAGUGAUGAUCUACUUGACGCAACACUUUCCUUAAGGCUAAUGAGAGAAGCUGGAUAUUCUAUUUCGGCAGACGAUGUUCUUCGGAAGUUCACAAACAAUAAUGGUGAUUUCAACCUUAGGCAUAGCAAAGACCUUAGAGGGUUGCUGAGCUUGCAAGACAUGUCACACCUCAACAUGAGAGAAGCUUCACUCUACAAGGCAAAGGAAUUCUCAAGAAAGCACCUUAAAUUUGCAAUUAAGUAUUUGGAGCCAAACCUUGCGAGAUAUGUCAUGAAGUCACUGGACCAUCCCUAUCAUGUGAGCUUGAUGCAAUACAAGGCUAGGCAUCAUCUGAGUUACCUCAAAAACUUGCCUACUAGGCACACUGCAAUUGAGACGCUAGCAGUUGCAGAAUUUCAGAUCAAGAAGUUGCAGCAUCAGAGGGAAAUGCAAGAGGUUAAGAGAUGGUGGAUGGAUCUGGGACUGGCUCAAGAAAUACCAGCUGCACGGGACCAAGUUCUGAAAUGGUACAUGUGGUCCAUGACUAUCCUCGAUGGUUUAUCCUUCUCUAGAUAUCGGGUUGAGGCCACAAAGAAGUUUCACACACAAAGUGCACAUUUUGACAGGUGGGAUCUUGCAGCUGCUGAGUCACUACCGAGUUACAUGAAAUCAUGUUACAAGGCUAUUUACACCAUCACAAAUGAUAUUGCCGAUAUGGUCAGAAAAGAGCAUGGAUUUAACCCUAUCAAUCAUCUCAAGAAAGCAUGGGCAUCUUUGUUUGAUGGAUUCAUGAUCGAGGGGAAAUGGCUAUCUACUAAUCAGAUCCCUACAUCAGAGGACUACCUAAGAAAUGGCAUCAUCACUUCAGGGGCACCACUUUUAUUUAUGCAUCUUUUAUUCAUGCUAGGGCAUGAUGUAACAGAUGACAACAACCACCACAUACUUAGGGUUAUCUCCUGCCCUGCAAAGAUCAUGAGGCUCUGGGAUGACAUGGGGAGUGCAAAGGAUGAGUUGCAAGAAGGGCUCGACGGAUCAUACAAGGAUUUGUACCAGAGAGAAAACCCUCAUGCUGAUGCGGAGAAGCACAUGUUGCAUAUGAUCGCGUGUGAAUGGGGGGAUCUAAACAGGGAAUGCUUCUCUCAGACAAAGUCCACACUACCACCUUGCUUCAUCGGGGCGUCUCUCAACUUUGCAAGGAUGGUCAGCAUCAUGUAUGGCUAUGACGAUGAGCAGAGGCUCCCCUCCCUGGAGGAUUACACUAGGAUGUUGCUCUUUUGA
This 1284-nucleotide ribosomal RNA is filed under the name Triticum aestivum (bread wheat). Its description in RNAcentral is "partial small subunit ribosomal RNA". The record is from RNAcentral. Lineage: Eukaryota; Viridiplantae; Streptophyta; Magnoliopsida; Poales; Poaceae.